UCUAUAUUGUCGCAGUAAAUCAACUCUAUGAUGUCAAAUCGAUGAAGUUAUUUGUGUUGUAAAAAUUUUGAAAAUGAAGAUUGUCUAAAUUUUGUUAAAAAAAAAAUAUAGUUAACCUUCAAUAUUUUUCAUUUAUAACCAUGAUAACAUUUAUACAUCAGGACGUUUUAUGUGUACCUUGCAGGUUAAUAAGCAAUAUCUUCCUUUAGCUUCUGGGGAGUUUUCAAGUAGAGAUGUUCAUGCCAUCUGUUUGAUACUUUGAUUGUAGCCAUUCUGAGCAUUGGCAUUGUAUAUGUGUCUAAAUCUCCAACACUUCUUUGGGGCCUAGUUGCCAGCUAUCUAUUUAGAACUGCAUAUUUUUCCCAAGUAUCUAUCACCUCUAUCUGCAACCAUUUUAUUUUUCUUUCAAAAGAAUUUGAGUUAUUAAUGACAAAAUGUGUGCUUUUUAAUUAGUUUAA
Long non-coding RNA from Macadamia integrifolia, 458 nucleotides. RefSeq lists it as uncharacterized. The transcript is spliced from 2 exons. The record is from RefSeq and is a predicted model, not a curated record. Lineage: Eukaryota; Viridiplantae; Streptophyta; Magnoliopsida; Proteales; Proteaceae.